GGGCCCGCACAAGCGGCGGAGCAUGUUGCUUAAUUCGAGGCAACGCGAAGAACCUUACCAGGGUUUGACAUCCUGCGAAUCUCUUGGAAACGAGAGAGUGCCUUCGGGAACGCAGUGACAGGUGGUGCAUGGCUGUCGUCAGCUCGUGUCGUGAGAUGUUGGGUUAAGUCCCGCAACGAGCGCAACCCACGUCGUUAGUUGCCAGCAUUUAGUUGGGCACUCUAGAGAGACCGCCGGUGAUAAACCCGGAGGAAGGUGUGGAUGACGUCAAGUCAUCAUGCCCCUUACAUCCUGGGCUACACACGUACUACAAUGCUACGGACAAAGGGCAGCAAGUUCGCGAGGACAAGCAAA
This 354-nucleotide ribosomal RNA is filed under the name uncultured bacterium. RNAcentral describes it as "bacterial SSU rRNA". It matches the Rfam family "Bacterial small subunit ribosomal RNA", at positions 917 to 1271 of the family's 1533-position model. The record is from RNAcentral.